GAUGAACGCUGGCGGCAUGCCUAAUACAUGCAAGUCGAGCGAACGGACGAGAAUCUCUCUUUUUUGCUGUUAGCGACGGGCGGGCGAGUAACACGUGGAUAACCUACCUAUAAGACUGGGAUAACUUCGGGAAACCGGAGCUAAUACCUGAUAAUAGUUUUAACUUCAUGGCUCAAAAGUGAAAGACGGUCUUGCGGUCACUUAUAGAUGGAUGCGCGCUGCUUUAGCUAGUCGGGAAGGUAACGGCUCACCAAGGCAACGAGGCAUAGCUGACCUGAGAGGGUGGGAAGCCACACCAGAACGGAGCCGCGACCCAGACUACUACGGGAGGCGGCAGAGGGGAAACUACUGCAAGGGGCGAAAGGCUGACGGAGCAACGCCGCGUGGGGUAUGGAGGUCCGCGGAUCGGAGAACUAUGCUACUAGGAUGGAACAUAUGUGUAAGUAACUGUGCACAUCUUGACGGUACCUAAUCAGAAAGCCACGGCUAACUACGUG
This 497-nucleotide ribosomal RNA is filed under the name uncultured bacterium. RNAcentral describes it as "partial 16S ribosomal RNA". It matches the Rfam family "Bacterial small subunit ribosomal RNA", at positions 28 to 507 of the family's 1533-position model. The record is from RNAcentral.